RNAcentral lists this ribosomal RNA (454 nucleotides) under uncultured bacterium. Its description in RNAcentral is "partial 16S ribosomal RNA". It matches the Rfam family "Bacterial small subunit ribosomal RNA", at positions 28 to 507 of the family's 1533-position model. The record is from RNAcentral.
GAUGAACGCUGACAGAAUGCCUAAUACAUGCAAGUCAACCGGAACGACGGUGUGCGUGGCGGACGGGCGAGUAACGCGGACAGAACUUGCCUCACAGAUAGAGCCAACAUUUGGAAACGGAUGCUAAUAGCUGAUAGUAUGAUUAUAUGGCAUAGUAUAAUUAUGACAGCGAUAUGCGCUGUGAGAGGGCUUUGCGUCCCAUUAGCGAGUUGGCGAGGUAACGGCUCCCAAAGGCGAUGAUGGGUAGCCGGCCUGAGAGGGUGAUCGGCCCCAAGGGGACGGAGACACGGCCCUUACGCCUACGUGCGGCAUCAGUGGGGACUAUUGGAAACUGGACCAAGAGUCUGAUCCAGCACUUCUGUGUGCAAGAUGCAGUUUUUCGGAAUGUAAAGUGCUGUCAGUUGGGAAGAAAAAAAUGACGGUACCAACAGAAGAAGUGACGGCUAAAUACGUG